UCGGAUGAAGACUUUUGUGACUGAGCGGCGGACGGGUGAGUAACGCGUGGGUAACCUGCCUCAUACAGGGGGAUAACAGUUAGAAAUGACUGCUAAUACCGCAUAAGACCACGGUACCGCAUGGUACAGUGGUAAAAACUCCGGUGGUAUGAGAUGGACCCGCGUCUGAUUAGGUAGUUGGUGGGGUAACGGCCUACCAAGCCGACGAUCAGUAGCCGACCUGAGAGGGUGACCGGCCACAUUGGGACUGAGACACGGCCCAGACUCCUACGGGAGGCAGCAGUGGGGAAUAUUGCACAAUGGAGGAAACUCUGAUGCAGCGACGCCGCGUGAAGGAUGAAGUAUUUCGGUAUGUAAACUUCUAUCAGCAGGGAAGAAAAUGACGGUACCUGACUAAGAAGCCCCGGCUAACUACGUGCCAGCAGCCGCGGUAAUACGUAGGGGGCAAGCGUUAUCCGGAUUUACUGGGUGUAAAGGGAGCGUAGACGGCACGGCAAGCCAGAUGUGAAAGCCCGGGGCUCAACCCCGGGACUGCAUUUGGAACUGCUGAGCUAGAGUGUCGGAGAGGCAAGUGGAA
This 577-nucleotide ribosomal RNA is filed under the name uncultured Lachnospiraceae bacterium. RNAcentral describes it as "bacterial SSU rRNA". It matches the Rfam family "Bacterial small subunit ribosomal RNA", at positions 71 to 666 of the family's 1533-position model. The record is from RNAcentral. Lineage: Bacteria; Bacillati; Bacillota; Clostridia; Lachnospirales; Lachnospiraceae.